UACGAGGGGGGCUAGUGUUGUUCGGAAUCACUGGGCGUAAAGGGAGCGUAGGCGGGAGCCUAAGUUGGGUGUUUAAUUCCGGGGCCCAACCCCGGGCAGGCACUCAAAACUGGGUUUCUUGAAUAGGGGAGAGGUCGGUGGAAUUGGAGGUGUAGCGGUGGAAUGCGUAGAGAUCUCCAAGAACACCCGUUGCGAAGGCGGCCGACUGGACCCAUAUUGACGCUGAGGCUCGAAAGCAUGGGGAGCAAACAGG
This 253-nucleotide ribosomal RNA is filed under the name uncultured bacterium. RNAcentral describes it as "partial 16S ribosomal RNA". It matches the Rfam family "Bacterial small subunit ribosomal RNA", at positions 524 to 776 of the family's 1533-position model. The record is from RNAcentral.